AGUCGAACGCGAARGGGCUUCGGCCCUGAGUAGAGUGGCGAACGGGUGAGUAACACGUGGGUGAUCUACCUUUGAGUGGGGGAUAACGUUCCGAAAGGAGCGCUAAUACCGCAUGACGUUCUGGGUUUGAAGACCUGGAAACCAAAGUCGGGGACCGCAAGGCCUGACGCCUGGAGAGGAGCCCGCGCCUGAUUAGCUAGUUGGUGAGGUAAUGGCUCACCAAGGCGACGAUCAGUAGCCGGCCUGAGAGGGCGGACGGCCACACUGGGACUGAGACACGGCCCAGACUCCUACGGGAGGCAGCAGUGGGGAAUUGUUCGCAAUGGGCGCAAGCCUGACGACGCAACGCCGCGUGGAGGAUGAAGGUCUUCGGAUUGUAAACUCCUGUUGACCGGGAAGAAUGGAUCUCGUAUUAACACCGCGAGGUAAUGACGGUACCGGUUGAGGAAGCCACGGCUAACUCUGUGCCAGCAGCCGCGGUAAUACAGAGGUGGCAAGCGUUGUUCGGAAUUACUGGGCGUAAAGGGCGCGUAGGCGGCCGCCUAAGUCAGACGUGAAAUCCCCAAGCUUAACUUGGGAACUGCGUCUGAUACUGGGUGGCUUGAGUUCGGGAGAGGAAUGUGGAAUUCCAGGUGUAGCGGUGAAAUGCGUAGAUAUCUGGAGGAACACCGGUG
RNAcentral lists this ribosomal RNA (674 nucleotides) under uncultured bacterium. RNAcentral describes it as "bacterial SSU rRNA". It matches the Rfam family "Bacterial small subunit ribosomal RNA", at positions 60 to 714 of the family's 1533-position model. The record is from RNAcentral.